This 31663-nucleotide long non-coding RNA is filed under the name Malus domestica (apple). RNAcentral's name for it is "long non-coding RNA (MDOM_LNC007117)". The record is from RNAcentral. Lineage: Eukaryota; Viridiplantae; Streptophyta; Magnoliopsida; Rosales; Rosaceae.
UGGGGAGUACAAUCUGGUUAUUGGUAUCCUUGCAUUUCAAGAUUUGCACGAGUUCUUUCAAGCACCAAGUGGAAGAAGCAUAGUCUUGAGAGAAAACUACAAUCGAAAGCCUUGACUCUCGAAUCGCUGUCAGGAGCUCAGAAAGGUGGUCGCCUUUUCUGAGCUUCUCGGCAUCAAUGAAGGCGUUGAUUGGUUUCUUAACCAGAGCGUUGUAGAGAUGGCUGACGAAGCCCCUGCGAGUGUCUUCCCCUCUGAAAUUGAUGAACACAUCGUAUUUGCAACCAAGGCCAGAAGAAGAUGAAGAAGAAGAAGCAGCCAUUAUUAAUCGAUCGCACCUGGUCAGCGACGAUCGAGCAGCUAAGACUAAGAGAAUUGUAAGUACAGAGAUACUCAAUAGAUCUACAAAUUGGAUCACCGGAAAUUAGUCUGAUCGAUACCAAGUCAAUGAGUCAAUGCAAAAGGGAAAAAGGGGAAAGUGAAAUUAUGCUUUAUGUUUUUUCACAUCUUCUUCGGGGAAAUUUCGGUGUGAAAGGAAUCUUAUCCUUUUGAUUUUUUAACCGAAGCAAAUGCGAAGAAAAGGGUCAAAGUGGAAAAUUGAAUAUACACUUGCCUAUCCAACAACCUCUUAAUUUAAUAUAUUUAAUUGAGAAAAGUAGUUUAGAGGAAUGAUGGUAUCUCCUUUUCUUCUCACUCAAUCUUCCGGCAUGCGAUUUAAUCAUUAUUAAAGCCAAGCUUAAUAAUAGGUCGUAUUAUUUAGGUCGUAUUGGAUUAUAAGUUUUUGUUGUGAACUUGUGAUACGAUAGUUGAAAAAUUAAAAAAAUUAUAAUUUAAAUGUACGCGGUGAAAUCUGUUAGAAUUUAGAUUCAAAAUUGAAAAUUUUAUUAACUUCGUUAAUUAUUAGCACACGAAGCUCACAAAUGAAAUAAAAUAAUAAAAUGUAAUCUUCACGUGCUAACAAUUAAUGGAGAGUUUCAUUUUAACCUAAAAUGUGUGGCUUACGUACUAAUAAUUAACGGAAUGUUGAUAAAAUUUUCAAUUUUAAGCAUAAAUCUUAAUAAACUUCAUCACAUGAGCUUAAAUCCUAAUUCAACUAUCUUCUCACUACCUUACCUUACCACUAAAAAAAUUAUUAAUCAAAUUAAGCUUAUUACUUACUUACAAAUACGUAACUAAAUCACUGAAAGCUAUCUCCGUUUCUUUGCUGGGUGGACAGCUGUCUCUUUGUCUUCUUUUGGCAGAUAGCUACUAGACUCCUAGGCCUCGUUUGUUUGACGUCCUUAGCUAGGACUGGACUAGCUAGGACUAAUAACCCUUGUUUGGUGCAAGCCGAGAUUGAGUUUAGUGGGAUUAAGUAGGACUCGUGCCGACUAAAUCCUUCGUUAGCUGGGCUUAGCGAGAGCCCCCGAAAAGGAGGGGAUUGCUAGUCCCGUUUCCUCGUCUUCCCUCUCACGCCGCGUCCUCGUGCUCGUCCUGCACGACUGCACCAUCUCUGACGACGACUCGUCUUCCUCCACCCACCCCCUUGCCGUCUGCAACUCCAAUCCCCACCCAUGGAAGAACAAGUGAAUUAAAGCAGCUAAUUUGCAAGAACAAGUGUAAUCAGAGCAAAAAAGUCAAUAAAAAUUCGAACGGAAGAGAGUAGAGAGAUGAGUGGAGCCUACCUCCUCCUCGUCUCGUAACACACGGACUGGAUCCAUCUUUGCUCCUUCCAAUCUCAGAAUUUUUUGUUUUUCACUUUGACGGACGACAAAUUCAAACACAAGCCAAGAUCAUAUUCAGUCAUGCAUUUCCUCAGAAGGCGGCACACUGCGAGAUGAACUUGAUUGGUGUUUUGUUUUUGGGAUUUGACCAAAAUCGUAAAGGCAGAUUUUCUUCAUCUGAGAACUGGAGAAAAAUUGGGAAAGUUUUGUUUGUUGGGAAGGGAAAGGAACGGUAGAGAUAAGGGAGAAAGAAUUAAAAUGAACAAAAGAAAAAUAUCUGAAUUUUAAAAAUAAUUUAGUCCGGUACUGCACCAAACGCUUCACUAAGUUAGUCAUGCUUAGUCUAGUCCAAGCCAGUCCAGCUUAGUCCCUGAACCUAGUCCAGUCCGAGAUAGUCCGGUGCAACAAACGCACCCCUAGUGGCCGGCCUAUUUUCCACAGCUGGUAUAGGACUCAGUUGCUAUACAAGAAGUGUUAUGUUGUAAUUCACUAUUGAUGGAAAUCCAACAGAAUCUUCUUCGACUUGUUGUGAGGAUUUGGGAUAUUUAUGAAUCGUAUCCAUUUAUCGUAUAUUGUGGGAUCAGUUUUUAUUAAAUAGUAUUUGUGUUUAAUUUUAAAUAAAAAAAUUUAAAAUAAAAUUUUACCGCACGAUAUACUAUGAACGAAUACAAUUCAUAGAUCUCCAAGAUCCUCACAAGGAGAAUCCAAAAAGGAUCCGGAUUCAAUGGAAAUAUUCGUAAAUGAUCCGGAUUCAAUGGAAAUAAGCUAAUUUUGAAUCAAAUAACAUUACUUUAUUUUGUAAGUAAAUUAAUUUUAAAUCAAACAACAUUAAUUUAUUAUGUAGCUAAUUAAUUUUGUAUGUGUCAUCAUAUAUAUUAGGCGCAUUUUAUUAUAGGUGAUUUUGUGGUAUUCAUCUUCAUUUAUAAGUAAAAAGUCUUAGGUUCGAUUCUCACAAAAGUGAAUUUGAACCAUAUUAUUGCUAGUCCAUUAUGAGGCCUAACCCACCCUCCUCCCCCUUAGUGUAGAUAGAUCGUUUGUUCAAAAAAAUAUAUAAUCAAAAUAGAACGUGAAGCGAAACAAUAGAUCAACAAUAUUUAUGUUAAUUAUAAAUAGGUCAACUAUGUAUGUGAUACUUAAAUUCAUUUAAAAUAAAAUAAAAUUACAAAAUCUGCCACUACAGUUGGCACGCACUUCAAUUAACAUUUUCUUUCUCAUAAUUUUUAUAUUUGGAAUGAGUCAUACGAAUCAAAUACUGCAAUGUAUUGUCUGUUUUCUGAUUCUAUUUUUUUACAUUUGGAUUCAGACACUGUGUUGUAGUGUCCAUUUAUUGGUUUCGUUUUUUCCAUCAGUCACACGCCUCCUACAUGUUCCUUUGUACAUUUGGAUUUAGACAAUGCAAUGCAGUGUCUGUUUCUUGGUUUUGGUUUUCCCUUUUGGAUUCAAACGCUGCAUUGCAAUGUAUGUUUCCUAGUCCUAUUUUUUUCAUCAUCCACACGUCUUCUACACUUCACACUUUCACGCGACUCCUGAUUUUUACAUUCAGAUUCAGACAUUGUAAUGCAGUGCUCAUUUCCUACCUCUGAUUUUUACAUUUAAAUCUAGGGUUAAACUCUGUUUACUACCCUCAUGUUUCGUGGUUUUCAACAUAUAGUACAUCAAGUUUUUUUCAUCCCAGUCAUACCUAAAGUGUUAAUUUUGGGACAGUCUCGUAUAUCUGUUAGUCAAACUGUUAGUUCUCCCGUUAAGUGAUGACAUAGCGCCCAUGUGGACAAUGACUAGGCCCCAAGUGUCAUUAAAAAAUAUUAAAAUAAUUAAUUAAAUAAAAGUUAUAAAAAAAAUCAUCCCUUCUCUCCCUUCUCCCCUCGCUGUCACACCCCGAUCCAGACAUACGUCCAAAGAUCGACACGUGACGUCACUAAAUGCCCGUAACUCAACGUACCCUGCCUUUUGGAUAUGUACAAAAUAUAAUUCCAGAUCCAGAUGCAUAAUAAUUUUGUGUAUACUUUAUGGCUGCAUCUAACCUCUUCGUUAGACUGCCUACGUACCCUCAAUAGGGAUCAAGUCAUUCGUAGUUCAACUUUUCACUACACUCGAAUAUUUAUCACAUAAAUUGCCAUAUUUCAACAUAAUGCACAAUUCAGAGCAUGCAACAUCUCAAGGAACAAUCGACGAGGUGCAAUAAUAAUCUAUAGCCAUAUUGGUCAGCGGUAUAUCAUAAUCAUAACAAUUACAUCCAACAAUCACACCAAAUAAUAACACAUACAACACACUGACAUGCAAGGCUAGAACGACGCAGUUCGGCUGAAGCCUACAUCUCUGAAGCUGAAAUCAAAUCCAAUGAACCAAGUCACCAAAGGGAUUCUGGACCACUCAACGGAAUCAAACUCAAGAUACGAUUCCGGACCAUCACUCAACGGAAUCGUGGAGUAGUAAGGAUUCCAAACCAUCACUCAACGGAACCGGGGAGUACCAUGCAUAUAGAACCACCCAAUGUAAUACAAGCUGGAUACGAUUCAGGAUCAUCACUUAACGGAACCGGGGAGUACCAUGCAUAUAGAACCACCCAUGGAAUACAAGCUGGACACGAUUCUGAACCAUCACUCAACGGAAUCACAGAAUAGAAGGGAUUUCGAACCAUCACUCAACGGAAUCCGAGUCAGGGUACGAUUCCGGACCAUCACUCAACAGAAUCGCAGAAUCGAAGGGAUUCCGGACCAUCACUCAACGAAAUCCGAAUCAGGAUACGAUUUCGGACCAUCACUCAAUGAAAUAGAGUGGAAGAUCAAGGGAUACAACAACGGCUUGCAGAAACAAUACAAGAACCAAGUACUUAAUUUAGAAUGGCUGAAUGAAAAUAGAUCAAUCCAAUCAUACAUUACAAACCCCAUGACAGUAGGUUAACGGUCCACUACUAGCCCUCACAUUUCAUCACAUCAAUCCAAUCAUACAUUACAAACCAUAUUUCCAAAACACAAGUAAAAUCAUACUUAAUGAAAAUAGAUCGAUGGCCAGAAAUAAAAAUAACACUUCAAUAGAAUUCACAUUCAAUAAACAUAGGUCUAUGGUGUGUGUGUGUGUGUGUGUGUUGUGUUUCACAUUUCAAUAGAAUUUCAUUUAUAACCUAUAUCUUAUUCACAUAUGAUAUUAAUAUAAGAAAUCAAGGUAAUAGCUAUAUCACAUAUAUUCAAGUCACUCUCAAACCAAUGUGGUCCCACUAGGUUUCACUUAGUUCCCCGUAGUACUAAUUUUAGUAUUUAGAACGUUUCGAGACAUGUUGACCAAAAGCCAAUUCUUGGUCGACAGUAGGAUCCACAACGCUACAAAAUUUGAUCCAGAAGAUCCGAACAUCAUAAUCAAGAUCCGUAACUUCCUAGGGUCCACAUUAUUCUCAAAGAACAACGUACUAAAAUCUCAUCGCAAUCCAACGGUCAGAUCUCCGCCCAUUGCUAGAAUUAGGUGGCGGUUAACAAUUAAUUUUACUAACUUAGAAAUCUAAUUCAUGAAGAUCCGUACAUCAGAUUCCCGAUCUGUAAGUUCUUAUGAUCCCAAAAUAUUACGUACUAUAACAUAUUAAAGUUUGGUGACGAUUCAACAGUCGGAUCGUCGAUUUCUAUUUUGACUUAUUCACGUAUCAAAAUGAAACUAAGUCCAAACAAUCAAAUUACGUCAUACGGAUAUCAAACAUGAACCCAGGGCAUCUAAUAGUGCUUAAAAAGACAUCAUUGGCCCACAGGCCACGCGCCGCCGUGGGUGGCGGUCGGCCACCCCAACUAAUCGAAAAAUUCAACUAUUUUAAAAAUUCUCAAAAAAUUACAAAAUUGAAGAUCUCAAAGAGUAGAAUAAACUUUAUAUCUAUGGCCAAGUCCAAUUUGGCCUAGAAAGUCCCCAAUGUUGUGAAAACCGUACGGAAACCUUAGAAUGGGUGUGUUCGAUUUAACCUCCAAACUUGCUCUGACGCCUCCACCACUGCUUGGGAUUUGUUCAUGGGUUAUAGGGGAGUGCUUUGGUGGUAGUAGUUGAAGAGAAACAUUUCACAAUUGAUGGAUUUUGAGCAAUGGUUCCCGCGUCACCCAUGGUGCUUGUUCCCCAAAUUCCAAGACUAAUUCCACUCCAAUUUUGGGUGGAAUAGGUAGAAGGAAUGAUGAGAGAUGACUUGAAGGGGGAUGACACUGGGCUGGAUCUAUCAGCAGCGAAUUCCCCAUACAAAUAGAGGCGCCUAUCAAAAAGAUACUCCGAAGACUUCGAGAUUGAGGUAUCAUUAGCCGAAGAAGGCCUUGGCCAAUCCACGUGGCCUGCUUGACGAACGUCAGCGACAGAGACAUCAGGUGGUGGGGGACCUUCAUCUCGCCGGAAAUUGGCCGGGAGACCAUGAAUCCCGCCGAUUUGUGUCUCACGGGUCAAAAGACCCGUUUUCCACCCCCCACCUUUUUUUUCUUUUUUCCUUUGUCUCGCCACUCCUGUGGCUUUCUUUCAUUUUCAUUUUUUUUAGCAACAACUUCAAACGUCCGUAACUAUACCGUUAUAAUCCGGACUCGCAAACGGCUUUCGCCUAUGCAUUCGUGAUCUCGAUAUCUAUUCAACAAUAUAAAUUGUGACCUCGAAUGGUCUACGGAUUUUAAAUAAUUAAUUUCCCGAAAAAUAAUAUAAAAUCUCUAUAAUACCAAUAUGUAGAUUAUAAUAAUGAAAUCCAAGAAUGAGAUUUCACACUCGUCCCCAACCCAGAAGAAGAAGAAGAAAAAAAAAAAAAACCGAAUCUGCAACCCAGAAGAAGAUGAAGAAGACAUGUUUUGAAAAGUAAACUUUAAUGCAGGAAAUCAAUACUACAAAGGAAGUAGCUGAGCUAUAAAUACAGAGGAAUGUUUGAACUACAAAGGGAGUAUGUGAAGAGUAGGAUGCAAAGCUUUUUAGAAGUCUUUUUUAAUAUGUUGAGUUAAGUGUCUUUUUUUUUCAACCUUUUUGCUGCCUUUUAUAGAACCGCCAUUUUCUUCUAGAGUAAGCCUUUCCUCCUCGAUUCAUUCUCUCUGGUGCAAGCAGCUGAUAUGAUUUGUUGUCAAAGGAUGAGUUCCCACUUGUAUACUUGAGCUUUUGAUCCCCUUGAAACGUAUCAUCGUUGGCGCAUUCAUCAUAGAAGCUCCAGCUUCAUACUAUCAUAAACACCGUACAUUUGAUAUUUAUUACAAAAUUUUCCUUUCUUCUUUUGCUUUUUCUAAUAAAAAAAUUAAGGUUGAACACAACAGGCUUUGUGGUUCAAAAAUCUAAUGGAAUAUUUGAUAGAAGGGUUGGAUUGUUAGCUUUGGGCUAAUGGAGAGUUGACAAAAAUAUUAAUUUUUGGCUUGAAUCCUAACAAACUUCACCACAAGGAUUUAAAUCCGAUUUUUUUUUUUCACCAUAGGGGUAAUCUUCUUAUUAUCCUAUCACCACGGGGACCAUUGAUCCAAUUUAGCCACUAAAUCAUAUUGCAUCAACUGAACAAAUAUAUUUUUUGUAUUGACGAAGAUAGAUAUAACCGUUAAUCGAUGGAAAAUUCGUUAUUCGGUGGGUAUAAUUAUGGAUAAUUACUGAUGAUUAAUUUACGUUUAUGGAGUGGUUAUUUUCAUGGUUAUUGGGAUGGAUAUAUCAUUUCCGUCCCAAACCAAACCGUUGUCAUCCCUAUAUUUGUUUAUGAGAAAAGUUAAUGAGACUUUCUCAAAAUGAGACUCUCCAUAAACGAUCUAUGCUAACUCAUGUUUUUUGUACAAUACUUUAUAAUGUUGGCAUGAAAAUUAUGCCAAAAACAUUUGAUGGUGGAGAAUCCAUAAAUAGUACUACUUAUGAAAGAGUCUCCUUAACAUUUUUCAUUUGUAUAUAGGCUAAAUAGCCAAAAUGGUCCUUGAGAUUUGCAUAACUCAUCACUUUGGUCCCUAACAUUUCAAAUCGAUAAAAUUGGUCCCUGAGAUUGUCCACCAUCCAUCAUUUUGGUCAUUCCAUUAAAAACUCCGUUAAGUGUCUCGGAACUCUUGGCCGGAAGUUUGGACAAUUUUCAAAGCUUCGUAACUCAAUCGUUUCUUAACCAAAUUCGACCCAUAAUAUAUGAAAAUGAAGAUAGAAAAGUGUAGAAUAAGAUUAUACUUAUUUAUAAGCCCAAUGGCUACCAGAGAUAGCCGGAAAAUAGUCUCAAAUUUGACUGGUCUGAAGGAAAACUGGAAAACUCGCCGGAAACUAGGUAAACUUUAAACGUUCAUAACUUUUUCAAUACGCAACGAAAUCAAGUGAUUUAAAAAAAAAAUCAUACUUCUCAACGAGAAGAAGAGAAUGAUAUCUUUUUCGAUGGCUAAUGCACCGUGGUUUGGCUGGAAAAUGGCUCAAAAGUGGCUGUCUUAGUCUCAAGUUAGCCACUUUCGAGCCAUUUUUCGGCCAAACCACGGCGAUUUAGCUGUCUACAAAGGUACCAUUCUCUUCAUCUCAUCAAGAAGUAUGAUUUUCGUUUUUGAAUCACUUGAUUUCGUUGAGUAUUGAAGAAGUUAUGAACGUUUAAAGUUGACCUAGUUUCCUGCGAUUUUUCCAGUUUUCCCUCGGACCAGUCAACUUUGAGGCUAUUUUCUGGCCAUCUCCAGCAUCUAUUGGGCUUCCAAAUAGGUAUAAUCUUAUUCUACACUUUCCUAUCUUCAUUUUGAUAUAUAUGGGUCGAAUUUGGUUAAGAAACAAUUGAGUUACGAAGGUUUGAAAAUUUCUCAAACUUCAGGCCAAGAGUUCCAGGACACUUGUCAGAGUUUUUAACGGAAUGAUCAAAAUGAUGGAUGAUGGACAAUCUUAGGGACCACUUUUAUCGAUUUGGGAUGUUAGGGACCAAAGUGAUAAGUUAUGCAAAUCUUAGAGACCAUUUUGGCUAUUUAGCCUUUGUAUAUAUGAUGGGUAAUAUUAGGGAGAGUAAAUUUAGAUACAAAACUAGCAAAUUAAAUGACAAUAAAAUGAGCAUGUUUAUCAGCGCUUAAGUAAUAAAUUAAUCAUCAACUUUCACGUUCCUGUUGUAAACAUUCCUAGUUUAAGUAUGAUUGUGUAAAUCCUAGAUAAGAUUUGAUUCUAGUUAUCCUUUCCUAUUACAACUUGUAUUACUUGGAGGAGAAGAAAUAUCUUCUCUACCUUUACUACUAUAAAUAAAGGCACAAUGUAGGAGGGAUAACAACACAUACAUUCCCCUACAAUUCUACAAACACACAUCUCUCUCAUCUCUCUCUCUGCCGCCGGCUCUAGUCUCUCUGUCAGAUAAAAUAGAUCACAACACAUUAUCAGCACGCUCCUACCGCUGCACUUAGGAAUCUGACGUUGGAGAUUUUUUUUUCUGCAUCAAACCAGUUCAUCCAUAUCAUCACGCAAUCAGGUUCUUUCCAAACAACGGUUUUUAACUCGAUAUUUUGCAAGCCCUGAUAGCAUGAACAUUCACCAUGAUGCAUGACCCAACUUUAUGUUUUACGUAUUUUAGAUUCUACAUAAAUUGUGUAUGCUUCAUAACCAAAAUUGCUACAAUUAUGUGAAUUUGAUAUUUGCCAUGAAUUGAAUCUUACAUAUGUACAUGCAUUGAAACUAUUAUUUGCAUAUGGAUCAACGUAAAUAUGUGAUUCAUUAAAUUUAUGCAUAUAAUAUAAUUGAAUUGAAAAAAAAAUAUUUUUUUUGCGAUUUGGGAAUUAGGGUUCUUCGAACCCGUGCACUUGCACCAUGCAAGCUGCAAGCCACCAGGCCAGCAGCUUGCGAUGGCCCAGCUUGGUUUCCUCACCAGGCCUGCAGCCUGCAUCAAGUCCCCACGAGGGCUCCAACCCAGAAACCCGACGUCGUUUAUGGCGUCUCUCCCAUUGUAGGAUGGCUUGCAGCCCAUCCUCACACCUCGGGUUAACUUGUCUAACAGCCUGAAGCUCGUCCUUGACAUCGAUUGACCGAGAUUCAAUUGAAUCUCAUCGGUUUUUAAAAAAAAAACCCAAUUCGAAAUUUCUAGGGUUUGAUUGCAACAAUUGAGAUUUUAAUUUCUCCAUGUUGUAAUCAUAGUCGAAAACACCCCAGAAGGGUACCUCCGAGUCUUCCCGUCCAAGUUUUGGCCACCUGCAGUGGUGGCGCCGAUCAUCUUCUCCGAUGGAAUCACCUAACCUCGCUAGGAUUUCUUGGAUCCAGCCCGAUCCCAAAUUUUUUGGGCCUGGCUUCGACUCAGGCUGAAAAAUAAUAAAUUUUUUUCUUUUGGGCUCGCCAUUGCAAGCCCAGUUCGACCCCCUCAUUUUUUCAGCCUAGCGUUACAUCACACCAGCCCAAAUGGGCUCUGGUGUUCUCCCAUGCCCCAUACUGCAGCAGAACCCAGCCCGUGUGGCUGUUGUGCUUUCCCUGCAUCGUGAUACACACGAUUGAGGCAUUCUUUGGGCCUUUGCCACCUGGGCUUACCUGAAGCAGCCCGUGAGUGAAAAAAAAAAAAAAAAAGAGAAAUUUUUUUUAGGGCUGCACACAGCAGCCCAUUCCCCUCUUCUCACCCCGUGGGCAUGCAACCUACACCCGAGGGUCCUCGGCCUAUAUUUUUAGACCCCGAGAUUUUAUUAUUUAAUACUUUUAAAUAAUAUGGGUUUUUAUAUUUUCACCCACACUUUAAUUUGGCCCCGAAGACCAAAAAUAAAUUAAUUCACUUAUCAUUAUACAAUAUUUCUGCAUAUAUUCUUUGCAUAUUUGUUUGCAUAUAUAUUUGUGUUUGCCUGCAGGAAUAUAUGAACCUAAAGUUCAUAAUUACUUUGAAACCCGAAGUUUCUUCUAAACAUGCCUUGUUUGAAAACCUGAAGUUUUCACUUAAACAUAUCACCCAUGAAACCCGAAGUUUUUCAUGCGAAAUUAUUAGUUUUUGGAUAUUAAGUUUUUAAUCCUUGAAUAAAUGAAAUUAUUUUGAAUUGAUACUUGUUUUUAUAAACUUUUAUGCAUGUGACCGAUUCAAAUUAAUUUUUCAUUCUAGGUAUGACUAGUGGGAAAGUUAGUUGUCUGGCAGAUAGUGCAACCACGCAUACUGUUUUGCGUGAACGCAUCUAUUUCACUAACUUCGUACCUAAGAAUGCACCUCUGACAACCCUCUCAGGCCCAUCCAACCUGAUCGAAGGAUACGGUAAGGCACGUAUAAUGUUGUCCAAUGGUACAAUCUUGACCAUUGCUGAGGCACUCUAUUCUCCACGUUCCGGAAGAACGUUACUAAGUUUCAAGGACAUUAGAGAUAACAAUUACCACGCUGAAACCCACGUAGAAAACGGAGUUGAAUUUAUGUGCGUAACUUCCUACGAAUAUGGCCAGAAGCGUAUUCUAGAGAAGAUGGAGCGUAACCCGAGUGGUCUGUAUACUACGACCAUACGCCCCAUAGAAUGCCACUAUGUGGCCGGCCCUACCACAGGGACUGCGCACGAAAUUACACUUUGGCAUGAUCGUUUGGGACAUCCUGGACGAAUAGCGAUGCGCCGUAUCCUCAAAACUUCACACGGGCAUCCACUAACCCGAAGCUUAGGUUCGAUCCAUGAAAUUGCAUGUCAAACAUGUUCUAUAGGAAAGCUUAUUACUAAGCCUUCUUAUGACAAGAUUCGUUCGAAUCCUCCCAUUUUUCUACAACGGAUUCAGGGGGACAUUUGUGGACCGAUUCAACCUCCUUGCGGACCAUUUAGAUAUUUUAUGGUUUUGGUUGACGCUUCUACACGUUGGUCACACGUGUGCUUGUUGUCCACAAGGAACGCUGCAUUCUCCAAACUGUUGGCUCAGGUUAUCAAGCUCAGGGCUCACCACUCUGAUUAUCCGAUCAAAUCUAUUCGAUUGGAUAAUGCUGGAGAAUUCAUAUCUAAAACUUUUGAUGACUAUUGCUUGUCGGUUGGGGUUAACGUUGAACAUCCUGUACCCCAUGUUCACACCCAGAACGGCCUGGCAGAGGCUUUCAUUAAGCGUUUACAAAUGAUUGCUCGAUCGUUGGUCAUACAUACCAAGCUCCCGAUCGCUGCUUGGGGCCAUGCAAUAUUGCACGCAGCAAAGUUGGUCCGCCUGAGGCCUGCUGUGACACAACCAUUUAGUGCCCUUCAGUUGGUCACCGGAUGCGAACCCGACAUAUCGCAUCUGCGCGUUUUUGGUUGUGCGGUCUAUGUGCCGAUCUCGCCGCCCUUACGUACAAAAAUGGGGCCUCAGCGAAGGAUGGGAAUCUAUGUCGGAUAUGAUUCUCCUUCGAUUAUUCGUUACUUAGAACCUUUGACAGGCGAUCUGUUUACCGCUCGUUUCGCGGAUUGUCACUUCUAUGAGACAGUCUUCCCGUCGUUAGGGGGAGAUAAAAACGUCAACGUUCCUAAUGAACGACGUGAAUUAUCAUGGACGACUCCCACUUUGUCUCAUUUAGAUCCCCGCACCGCUCAGUCUGAAGCUGAAGUGCAGCGCAUAUUAGAUCUCCAGAGCAUAGCUCAGAGCAUGCCAGAUGCUUUCACCGAUCUAGCGCGCGUGACAAGAUCACAUAUUCCAGCUGCGAAUACGCCUGCAAAGAUAGAUGUACCAAAUGUACGACGGACUACUCUCCUGGAAGCCCGGGACGCAAAUUCUGGUGAUCCACGUACAUUAACGGCUAGCCAAUCAUCUGCCCCUACACAAAAGCGUGGCAGACCCCUUGGUUCAAAUGAUUCACACCCCCGGAAGAGGAAAACCACGGCACAAGGUCCUGAAGAGCCUACCGUGAAUCCGACUAUCGCUUACUCAUUUUACCCAACUCAUGAGGAAAUUCUAGAUUAUGGAAGCGUCCUUGAAGAGACGAAUCCUCCUCCCGAGAAUCGUGAGAUUUCGGUCUAUUAUGCUAGUUUAGAUGAUGUGUGGCGUAGAAAUGAGAUGAUUGUCGACGAUGCAUUAGCAUUUGCAGUAGCUACUGAGAUCAUGUUGAGCGAUGACAUUGAACCGCGUUCCGUUGAUGAAUGUCGACGUAGAGCUGAUUGGUCAAACUGGAAACAAGCAAUCCAAGUCGAACUUGAUUCACUUGCGAAACGUAAGGUGUUUGGACCUGUAGUUCCUACUCCUCCACAUGUGAAGCUCGUUGGCUACAAAUGGGUUUUCGUUCGGAAGCGUAAUGAGAAGAACGAAAUUAUGCGUUACAAAGCUCGUCUUGUAGCACAAGGUUUCUCACAACGUCCCGGGAUUGACUAUGACGAAACUUACUCACCCGUUAUUGAUGUGAUUACUUUUCGAUACCUUAUCAGUUUGGUAGUUUCCGAAAAACUAGAUAUGCAGCUAAUGGACGUAGUAACCGCGUAUCUCUAUGGGGAUCUUAAUAUGGAAAUUUAUAUGAAAGUUCCCGAAGGACUUACAUUGACUGGUUCAAAUAUUUCCAAACCCCGGAACACGCUCUCAAUUCGGCUGAGGCGUUCACUAUACGGUUUGAAAUAAUCCGGAAGAAUGUGGUAUAACCGUUUGAGUGAGUAUUUGACUAGUCAGGGAUAUGUGAACAAUGAACUAUGCCCUUGUGAGUUCAUUAAGAAGUCACAUUCCGGAUUUAUGAUUGUUGCAGUAUAUGUCGAUGACAUGAAUCUCAUCGGAACUCCUGAAGAGCUCGCGAGAACUGCUUCGCACCUGAAGUCGGAAUUUGAGAUGAAAGAUCUAGGAAAGACUUGAUACUGUCUCGGUCUCGAGAUAGAGCAUUGUUCGGAUGGAAUCUUAGUACAUCAAUCGAACUACACCCAGAAGAUGUUACGCCGUUUUAAUGAGGAUAAAGCGAAGUCUUCGAGUACUCCUAUGGUCGUUGAUGCGUAAAAUAAGUUAACACACAAAAUUAAACCCUCUUUUUGACAAUUGUAGUAUAGAUGUAAGUAGGGUAUCGUUCUAGGCCGGGGAUUAGGAGGGAUUGCUAAUCUAUUAAAUUAACUUAAAAAUAUUAAAUAAGACUCAAGGACACAAAACUAGGCUAAAAACUCUAAUAACUCGAAACACACUUAAAAUGACUCAAAAUAAUGAAAACAAUUAAAUUAAAUACUAGGAACUGAAAUGGACGGAAAUUAAAUUAAAAGACUAACAAUAAAGAAAACUAAAUAAAUAAUAUAAUUUAAUAAUGGAUGGGUGUUUGGUUUUGAUGAAAAGUAAAUUAAACUUAAUUAAAUUACAGAAUUGACAAAAACAUGAAAUUAAGGUGAAAUGAUAAAUGACGGACUAGCUAGAGGGUUCUUCUCCACACAUGACACAUAUGCAACCUAAAUUGAUUUUCAGUUGUUCUUUCAAUAAAUUGUGAAUCUCAAUACUCCAGAUUAACCGUGAAUAGCACUUUUUUAAUCUUCAAGUUUUCCUUAAGUUAUUGAAUUGGACGGAAAAAACGCAUACAACAAUUCAAAACAUUCUUCAAAAGUCCCCUACGUGAAAAGCACAAUAGCGAUACAAUCAAAGAUCAUUAAACUUUGUGAAAACUAUAAGCAUUGACGAGGCAUUCGUAACUAUGAAAAGCAUGAUACUCUUGCCAAGAAUUUACUUAACGUGAUUGUGACUAGCAACCUUUACUACUUGUGAAAAUAAGUUCAUAACGAUUAGGUGAAAUUCACUUAUAUUCUAGCAUCAAAUUCAUGCAUGUAAAUUAAGCGUACACUCUCAACCAACAUACACAAAUCAGUUUUUAUACGAACGGAUAAGUAAAUUGAAAUCACAACUUAUGAAAUCACAACCGAAGGUAAUCAAUUCAUAUUACAAAUAUAUUCAUGGUUUCGAAUUAACCUCUAGCCAAAAUAAAAUUAAUUACACAUUAUUAAAAUAAAAAUAAAAUAGGAGUUUGGAAAGAUUAAACCGAAAGAAAGGAUCUGCUGCUUGGACUCUGAACUGCAUUUUCAUGCUGACCUCCUGUCCUCCUCGCCACUGACUUCCCUUCUCUCCGCAGCUUCACGCUGCCCAAAGGGCAGCCCUCUGCCUUCCACCAAUUCCCCCCCUCCUUCUCUCUUCUGCCAAUCCCAUCUAUAUCCUCAUGCUCCUGACCUCCUCCUUAUUUCUUUUUUUUCUAUUUUAUUUUUUUUUGUUGCUGUCCACCACAUUCUCUGCGCCUACUGCGCUCCCAGCUGUCUCUCCUGCUUUCCACUGACUUUUCCCGCUCCCACUUCUCUCUAUCCUCUUUCUGCUGCCGCAAGGCAGCUGUCUGCUUGCUGCUUCUCUCUCCCUUUUUCUGCUUGUUUAUAUUUUUUUUUUUCUUCUUUUCCUUUUCCUUCUUUUCCUUUUCCUUUCUUUUUCUUUUCUUUCUUUUUCUUUUCUUCUUUGCCGUUCCUUUCUUCUUCUACAAAACAUGAAUCAUGAUGAUGUUUCAAACAUCAUCAUGACUUGUUAUUAUUAUUAUAUAUUUAUUUAUUUUUAAUUUUAUUUAAAAGCUGAUCUACACAGACAGUUUUGACGAAUUUAUUACAUAAAAUUUCACUUGUUCUAUUUUUAUUUUCUUUGCAUAACAAAUCCUAUAAACACAAAAAUAACGUAAAUAGCUCAAAAAUAUAAGGAACUAACUAAGAAAAGACGAGUGAAUUCGAAGUAAAAAUAUAUAUAAAUAUCAUCCGAUCAAAUACCCCCACACUUAACUUUUGCUAGUCCUCGAGCAAAACAAAGAAAACUAGAACAAGAAGUAACAAGAAAAACAUUAGCUUCCCCCUAUGUGACCCUCAUAGAAUUUCAUUCGAGAAAACAAAUCAUCAAGAACCAUAGCUAGCAUCAAGGAAAUAAUCCAAGUUCAUCUUCCUUAUUCAAAUAUUAGCAGUAAUCUUUAAAUCAUCCUUGAAGUGUAGUGUGUGAGAUAGCCAUGCUAAUGCAAUUUCAAGUUUUUAUUUUUAAAAUCAUCAUAUGCAAACUAGCGACCUUCUCACGGGAUAUGCACUCAAUCACACAUGUGUUUAGUUUUAAUGUGUUUCGCUCAAAGAAUCAAAUGUGAAAUUUCUACCAUAAGCUUGCAUAAAGAUCACUUCUCCACAGUCAUAAUUGCAAAACUUAAAUCAAGAGGACUUUUAUUGGAUGUAAUGAGGCUUAGGGAUAGGGUUAUUGAAAUGAAAGAAUAGGAAAACACAAGUUCCAAGCUAUAUUGCAAGCAAUUCUUUUGUUUAGAUUUAUAAGAACUCAAUUUUUUCAGCGAUUCUUCUAGCACCUCCAACCAUACCCUUAAACUGAAACUUUAAAAACUUUUUAUUUUCUUUGUAUACAAUCUUUCUUUUUCUUUUCUUUUUUUCUUCUUUUUUUUUAUUUUUUUUUAUUUUUAUUUUUUUUAUACAAACAUGAAAUACCCCCACACUUAUUCUUUUGCCAAACACCUUCAAAGUACUUCACAAACAUUUCUCAUAAGACAAUCUCACAUUGCUCACUUGGAAAGGGUAAGGAAAAAAUGUUUCAGGCAUAAGGGUAGACAUAUCUGGUGAUAAGAAAUAAAAGGCUCAACAUACACGGCUCAAAUUGGCAAUCUAAUGAUAUCAUUUUCUUUGGGAAACAUAGUUAUUUGGGCCAUAGUGGUAAACCUAAUGCCUCUAUCAUUUCCAAGUUCAUGCAAUCAAUGACAAACAUUUCGAAAGAUCGUUACGCAAGUUCUAGAGAUGUAUCUCACAUAAGUUCAUCACACAUGAAAGAAUAGGAGUGUAUGAAAAAUGCACACUUUCAAUAGGCUCAAAAACUCACAUAGGAUGUAUAUGGUCACUAAAUUCACAUAUGAAGCUUUAAGUCAUACUUUAGUUUCACAUUAACAAGGCUAUGUGCAUUUGGUUUUUCAAAGAUGGUCAAACAUGUACAAAACUAACAAGAGAAUUAGGAAUUUCACCAAAACACAUGUUAACUAAGUUCUUGAUGAUCAUGGUUCAAAUUUUUGAUCCAAUUAUAUCAUUGGGUCGGGAAACUAACAAAAAUCUGAUUCAGAACAAUAAGGGAAACAAGACAAUAUUUUUUGGAUUUUUAAAUUUUUCGAUUUUUUUUUUUUUUUUUUUUUUUUUUUUUAAGAAAACAAAAACUAACAACACAGAAACAAAUGAAAUUCUAGAGAUUUCUACCCCCACACUUAAACUUGACAUUGUCCCCAAUGUCAGAAAACACUAUAACGCAAAUAAAAAUAAAAUAAAUAAAUAAAUAAUAAGAAACAAAAUAAAAACAAUGGGACUGAAAACUUCCCUAAUUUGCAGUAAAAUCAAGCGAUGACCCCCAAGCUAAAAUUCUGCAAUCAACUUCAAGGGUGGAAAUAACCAAAAGUUUCCUGCAAAGAAAAGAAAUAAUACAGUUAAGUACGCAAGAAAAUUAAUUAAAAAAAAAAAAAUUGCAAACGAAAAAUUGAAAAUUACGAUAAAAAGAUAAUGAAUAAAACUAAUAAGUAAUCAUUGGUCGUGCUUGUUGACUUUCCACAGCUUUCCUCUUGAACAGGGUGACACUUAGCUUUUUUACUAUUUGAUGAUAUUGUACGGCGGAGCUUUGCUCUUUGGGAAUGUUGCAGUUCCUUAUUUGUUCUCCAAGCAGAUGUGGCAGCUUCUCUAGUUCCUCAGUUCGGACUCCUUCCGCUGGGAUGAUUGUGCAAGCUGCAUUCUUCUCUGCUUGUUUCUUCUGCACAACGGGCAGGCACGAGGGAAAGGUGUUGGUCCUUAUUUCUUUCUUCAAUCUUUCCAAGUGCCCACCUCUUGCUUUCUUUCUCCUUGUCCCUAGCUGAAUUGUCUCCACAUGCUUCGAGGUAUCAUUUUCACUUUCCUUACUGUCCCCCAGGCAGAUGUGGUAGACGAAGAGAAAGCAUAAAAUGAUGAAGAUGAGUACUCGAGAGCAAGGCUAGGUAAGCAAUCAGGAAAGGGUUCCAGGCAGUUGGCUCCAGAUUGGAAGAUUGAUACCAAAUGCUGGCUGAUUGCUCUCUUUCUCCUUGUCGGAAAACAAAGACAAGGAGAAGGACAUGGAGAAAGCAUGAUAUGAGAUACUCUUGCUUUCAACCUUUAUGAUAUGAAAUACUUUUGCUUUGAAUGGGUUGUUCGCAGGAGUAUCCCAAGGAAUGAGGAACACAGAGUGACUCGAGAGGAUUCUUUGGGAAUGCAUUUUCGGAGAUGAAGAGGUGUUGAGAGGGUGUGCUGAGAGAGUGUGCUUUUGCUGUGGAAGGCGAAGGUAGAAACUUAUAGGACUUGUCUUCACAACCGGAACUGUUCUCUCACUUAGUGUCGGCAGCCGGUGGAUGGGUGAAGAAUACAAAUUACGCGCUUUCUGACAAAGCUGCCCGUAAUUUCCGCAAAGCUGCCAGUUGCAUGUGACAAGUGCUGACUAGGCUGAGAGAGACAGAUGGUUGGAAUCGGCACUUCGACAGACUGCCCGUGAUUUUCGCAGAGCUGAGUUUGCGUGUGACGGGUGACAACACGUCUGGACGAAUUGAUCUUGCGAAAUCCGGGGUUCGGCUCGUGGUUUCUGAGCAAGCCCAACUUUUAAGAAAUGAACGCCUCUUUUGAGAAAAGAAUCCGGCUUUUGAGAACGGAAACUCCUCUUUUGAGAAAAGAAUCCGGCUUUUGAGAAAGGAGCCCCGACUCUUCGAUUUGCGAGAUGACGCUUCUCUGAGGAGCGCCUCUUUGAUUUCUUCUUUUUAUAGAGGCGUUAAUUUUGUUCCACAACACACUUGAGUACCCUCCUGUAAACACUCCCAUCUUGCACUUGUUUAAUCUUGAUCAGUCCAACUCUCUUCUUUCUUUACCACCUCUGAAAAAUGUCUGGCCCUUCUGAUCGUCGUUUUGACUUGAACAUUGGUGAAGAGGCAGCUCCGCCUUCACCAGACAACAUAUGGCGGCCAUCCUUCAUAUCCCCUACCGGUCCCCUUACCGUGGGGGAUUCGAUGAUGAAAAAUGACAUGACCGCUGCGGUGGUGGCCCGAAACCUUGUCACUCCCAGAGAUAACAGACUGCUCGCAAGGCGGUCUGAUGAAUUGGCGGUCAAGGAGUCUCUGGCUCUCAGUGUGCAGUGUGCGGGUUCCGUAUCCAACAUGGCCCAACGCCUAUAUGCCCGAACCCGUCACGUUGAAUCCUUGGUGGCUGAAAUACAGAGUCUCAAGUAAGAGAUUAAAGGGCUCAAGCAUGAGAAUAAGGAAUUGCACAAGCUCGCACACAGCUAUGCCACCAGCAUGAAGAGGAAGAUUGACCAGAUGCAGGACACCGAUGGUCAAAUUUUACUUGAUCAUCGGAGGUUUGUGGGUUUGUUCCAACAACAUCUGCCUUCGUCUUCUGGAGCGGCACCGCGUAGUGAAGCUCCAACUGAUCAACCUAUGCCGCCUCCUCCUUCUGUGGCCCCGCCGACUGCUGAAGCCCCGCCCGACCAAUGAAUACUAUUAGUUUACAUCAUUGUAAAAUAUUUGUACUUUUUUUUUUUUAUUUUUUUAUUUUUUUAUAAAUGUAAAUUAAUGUAAAGAGACUUUGGUUAACCUUCCCACACUUAAACUAAAUAACACAAACUCACAGAAAUCAAACAAAUAACACAACUAACUAAACAAGACAAAAUGAAAGCAUUAAAGAUAAGGGUGUAAAAAUGCAAAUCUGAUUGGGUUAGCGAUUCCAAAGUCUCCCUUCGUUGAAUGCUUGGGUUGCCUCCCAAGAAGCGCUUGAUUUAACGUCUUUAGCCGGACGCAUCUUUCCUUUAAAUUUCCCUCGGCUCCAUUUGAACCUAAAAUCAAAGAAAGAAAAAUAAAUCAAAUAUCAAAAGUAAAAUACACAAACACCAAUAUAAACAUAAACAAAAACAAAAAUAAAAGGAUUAGCAAAGUUGCUAAUCCCCGGCAACGGCGCCAAAAUUUGAUGCGUAAAAUAAGUUAACACACAAAAUUAAACCCUCUUUUUGACAAUUGUAGUAUAGAUGUAAGUAGGGUAUCGUUCUAGGCCGGGGAUUAGGAGGGAUUGCUAAUCUAUUAAAUUAACUUAAAAAUAUUAAAUAAGACUCAAGGACACAAAACUAGGCUAAAAACUCUAAUAACUCGAAACACACUUAAAAUGACUCAAAAUAAUGAAAACAAUUAAAUUAAACACUAGGAACUGAAAUGGACGGAAAUUAAAUUAAAAGACUAACAAUAAAGAAAACUAAAUAAAUAAUAUAAUUUAAUAAUGGAUGGGUGUUUGGUUUUGAUGAAAAGUAAAUUAAACUUAAUUAAAUUACAGAAUUGACAAAAACAUGAAAUUAAGGUGAAAUGAUAAAUGACGGACUAGCUAGAGGGUUCUUCUCCACACAUGACACAUAUGCAACCUAAAUUGAUUUUCAGUUGUUCUUUCAAUAAAUUGUGAAUCUCAAUACUCCAGAUUAACCGUGAAUAGCACUUUUUUAAUCUUCAAGUUUUCCUUAAGUUAUUGAAUUGGACGGAAAAACGCAUACAACAAUUCAAAACAUUCUUCAAAAGUCCCCUACGUGAAAAAGCACAAUAGCGAUACAAUCAAAGAUCAUUAAACUUUGUGAAAACUAUAAGCAUUGACGAGGCAUUCGUAACUAUGAAAAAGCAUGAUACUCUUGCCAAGAAUUUACUUAACGUGAUUGUGACUAGCAACCUUUACUACUUGUGAAAAUAAGUUCAUAACGAUUAGGUGAAAUUCACUUAUAUUCUAGCAUCAAAUUCAUGCAUGUAAAUUAAGCGUGCACUCUCAACCAACAUACACAAAUCAGUUUUUAUACGAACGGAUAAGUAAAUUGAAAUCACAACUUAUGAAAUCACAACCGAAGGUAAUCAAUUCAUAUUACAAAUAUAUUCAUGGUUUCGAAUUAACCUCUAGCCAAAAUAAAAUUAAUUACACAUUAUUAAAAUAAAAAUAAAAUAUGAGUUUGGAAAGAUUAAACCGAAAGAAAGGAUCUGCUGCUUGGACUCUGAACUGCAUUUUCAUGCUGACCUCCUGUCCUCCUCGCCACUGACUUCCCUUCUCUCCGCAGCUUCACGCUGCCCAAAGGGCAGCCCUCUGCCUUCCACCAAUUCCCCCCCUCCUUCUCUCUUCUGCCAAUCCCAUCUAUAUCCUCAUGCUCCUGACCUCCUCCUUAUUUCUUUUUUUUCUAUUUUAUUUUUUUCUGUUGCUGUCCACCACAUUCUCUGCGCCUACUGCGCUCCCAGCUGUCUCUCCUGCUUUCCACUGACUUUUCCCGCUCCCACUUCUCUCUAUCCUCUUUCUGCUGCCGCAAGGCAGCUGUCUGCUUGCUGCUUCUCUCUCCCUUUUUCUGCUUGUUUAUAUUUUUUUUUCUUUUUCCUUUUCCUUCUUUUCCUUUUCCUUUUCUUUUUCUUUUCUUUCUUUUUCUUUUCUUCUUUGCCGUUCCUUUCUUCUUCUACAAAACAUGAAUCAUGAUGAUGUUUCAAACAUCAUCAUGACUUGUUAUUAUUAUUAUAUAUAUAUUUAUUUUUAAUUUUAUUUAAAAGCUGAUCUACACAGACAGUUUUGACGAAUUUAUUACAUAAAAUUUCACUUGUUCUAUUUUUAUUUUCUUUGCAUAACAAAUCCUAUAAACACAAAAAUAACGUAAAUAGCUCAAAAAUAUAAGGAACUAACUAAGAAAAGACGAGUGAAUUCGAAGUAAAAAUAUAUAUAAAUAUCAUCCGAUCAGUCGUUCGUACGCUAGAUGCAAAACGAGAUCCCUUCCGUCCGAAUGAGGAUGAUGAAGAGAUUUUGGAGCCUGAAGUUCCUUAUCUAAGUGCGAUAGGCGCUUUAUUGUACUUAGCUCAAUGCACUAGACCCAGCAUCUCAUUUGCUGUUAAUCUUUUGGCAAGAUACAGCAAUGCACCAACACGCAGACAUUGGACUGGCGUGAAAGACAUCUUCCAUUACCUUAAGGGUACUAUGGAUUUGGGCUUAUUUUAUCCCUACGAAUCCUCGAGUGAUGCCGCACCCUAUGCUCAUCGGGUUGAUUCUCGCCUUGUUGGUUAUGCCGACGCUGGAUACUUAUCUGAUCCGCACAAGGCGCGUUCUCAAACGGGUUAUGUCUUUACCGUUGGAGGCACCGCAAUAUCUUGGAGGUCAACUAAACAGACCUUAGUUGCCACUUCGUCUAACCAUGCUGAAAUUCUCGCCUUACAUGAAGCAACUCGGGAAUGCUUUUGGUUGAGAGCAGUAAUGGGCCAUAUUCGAAGCUCCUGUGAUCUUCAUCCUGCCGUUAAUGCCCCGACGACGAUUUUUGAAGACAACGCAGCUUGCAUCGAACAACUCAAGAAGGGUUACAUCAAAGGAGACAACACCAAGCAUAUUGCGCCGAAGUUCUUCUUUACACAUCAACAACAAGAACAUCAGAAGAUUGAAGUCACGCAAAUCCGAUCACAAGACAAUAUGGCCGACCUCUUCACCAAAUCACUACCGAAGGCGACGUUUCAGAAGCUUGUUCAUGGAAUUGGUAUGCGUAAACUUUCUGAGUUGUAACUUUGCUAUUUCUCUUUGGAAUUAUGUCAAACUCAGGAGGAGUAUCCUCUGGAUACUUGCUUGAUCUUAAUGUAAUUUUUUUCCCUAUGAUUAGGAGCAUUUUUCCCACUGGGUUUUUGCUACCUAACUAGGUUUUAACGAGGCACCCACCUUGGGCUGGUCAUAUCCCUGAUGACGUCCUGUAGAUGUUUCUUUUGACUUUGCAUUUCUCACACAUUUUCCUUAGACUAUGGAUUUUGUCCCUACUCGGGUUUUUGCCAUAGCCUUAGGGUUUUUUAGUGGGACUUACUACUUAUGCAAGUUCCUACCUUAUUGAGAAUAAGCGUUGUUCCUUGGAAUCAAUGCCGACGAGUCAACUUCCUCAACUUCUGCAUGAUACUGAAUCUACCUUGAGUAUUUACACACUCAAGGGGGAAUGUUGUAAACAUUCCUAGUUUAAGUAUGAUUGUGUAAAUCCUAGAUAAGAUUUGAUUCUAGUUAUCCUUUCUUAUUACAACUUGUAUUACUUGGAGGAGAAGAAAUAUCUUCUCUACCUUUACUACUAUAAAUAAAGGCACAAUGUAGGAGGGAUAACAACAUAUACAUUCCCCUACAAUUCUACAAACACACAUCUCUCUCCUCUCUCUCUGCCGCCGGCCCUAGUCUCUCUGUCAGAUAAAAUAGACCACAACAGUUCCUUAGUUUUCAAAAUUUUAUUUUCAUAUUUAGUCUCCUAACAUUGUCCAUGAAAUCACUUUAAUUUUGAGAUUAGAAGUGUCAACGACUCAGCAAGAUUAUUUCGCCAUCGCAAUUCCAGCAGAUUGAUUGGCAAUUAACAUGAAUUGAUUGAGUAGUAUACUAUAUUUUAUAACACAAAUCAAAAGAAAUUAACGAGAAGAAGCAACCCACUAGCAACAGUGCCGAUAAAAGCAAACCAAACGAAAAGGUGUGUGAACAUCCGAGCCAAAGUUACACUCACCUUUCAGGAGAAGCGAUAAGGCGGUGAAGAUAAGUGAAAGCCGAUCCGAACUGCAAAGUCAAUGAUGGAUGAAGCCGAUCCGAAUUGAGGAACUUGGAGGGAAACAUGGAUAAAGGUGGAAGAAAAUAGGGGGAAAAGAUGGAAAAGGUGGAAGGAAGAUAGAUGGAAGGAAACACGGAGAAAAAGUAGUCUUUAAAUUUGUCCCGCCAACAACUUUUUUUUCUAUUUUUUUUAACAAAAACGAUAAUAUCUACCAUAAGAGAGGGGUGUGCCAAAAUGACAAAAAUAUCCUUCAUUUAAUAAACAAUGGGCUAAAAUAAUUUGAUAAAAAAUAAGAGUAUUUUUGUCAUUUUUUCCUUAUUUAAUAGUGAUUUUUCACGGAAAAAUCAAAAUGAUCGAUGGUAAACAAACUCAGGGACUAGUUCUUAGAUUCUAAAUCUCAAGGACCAAAAUGAGGACUUAAAACCAAUCCUAGAGACUAUUUUGACUAAAAAGCCAUUAUUUUACCAAUGACACCAAUUUUAUUAAUCUAGAAAGAGGUGAUUCUAAAUCUCAAAGACUAAAAUGAGGACUUAAAUCAAUCUCAGAGACUAUUUUGACUAAAAGAACCAUUAUUUUACUAAUGACACCAAUUUUAUUAAUCUAGAAAGAGGUGACUCACCAAUUUGAUCUAUCAAACCUAAAAUGAAAAACAACGUAGUUUGGUCAUAGCACAAAAGAACUUGUGGGGUAAACCAAAUAGGUGGAGCAGUGUGUUCGUCUCUUAACACUUAAUUUCAAAUUCCUAUACCUAUAUAUUUGAGUAGUGGAAGUAAACAUUGUAAACCAGAGUGGUCUAACACCUCUUGAUCUGCUAAUCUUCCCGAGUGAAGCCGGCUAUAGGGAAAUUGAAGAGAUCCUUCGUGGUGCCGGAGCUUCGAGAGCACAGGACAUACACCAUACUCCCUCUCAUUGUCCCAUGGAAACAAAUUGUUGAACUAUAAGUAUUUGAGCUGAAAUGUUUUAGAAUAAGUUUUGUUUAAAUUGGUGAAUCCACUUGUGCAGAAUGAGGCAAAGUGUAAAUGUCUAGUUUUGUAAAAAGGCCAUGAGUGCCAUGUGUUGGUAGAUCCAUGAAAUUAGAGAGAUGUGUGUCUAGGAUGAAAUGUAGUAGUUUAUGUGGUCCCAAGUUAAGGACCUUCAGUUAAUGUAAAGCACGUGAGUGCUCAUUUCUGAAAAAAAAAGAAGCAAUUUUCCUCUGUAAAGUUUCUGCAGAGAAAAGAACAAGAAACCGUUCGCUUUCUCCAACCUUUGUUCAUCGUGUGUUUUCUGUACAGCUCCAUCUUCAUCAAAACUCUCAUUGAAAUCAAGUUACACUAACAUGGCCUCAGAGCCAGGUUGGGUCUAACAAUCUGGGCGUAAAUCUGUGAAGCUAUUUUUGAGCUCAAUCGAAGCUCUCUUGAAGCUCCGUGAACGUUGUCGAUUCAGAUCAAAACAUGUCUGGAUCUGGAGGCUCGGAAGUGAGGACUCCAAUUUUCUCCGGUGAGAACUACGAGUUCUGGAGAAUUAAAAUGGCAACGAUAUUCAAAUCCCUUGGGUUAUGGAACCUGGUAGAGAAGGGGAUUGAAACCUCCAAUCCGAAGAAGAAGGAAGCUGGAGAAGCAUCGAAGGAUGAUGAAGAAAUGGUAGCUGUUCUGAUGAAAGACACAAAGGCUUUGGGAAUCAUUCAGAAUGCAGUCUCGGAUCAGAUCUUCCCACGAAUCGCCAAUGCCGAGUCAGCUAAGAUGGCAUGGGAUUUGUUGUACGGGGAGUAUCAUGGUGGUGAUCAGGUACGAUAUGUGAAAUUGCAGAAUCUUAGGAGAGAGUUUGAAUAUGCUAGGAUGAGAGAUGAUGAGUCUUUAUCUAGCUAUCUUACACGGCUGAAUGAGCUAAUUAAUCAAAUGAGAACAUUUGGUGAAUCUCUGUCGAAUGAGAGACUGGUGCAAAAGGUUUUGAUUAGUCUUAGUAAACCUUAUGAUUAUAUCUGUUUGGUUAUAGAAAACACAAAGUGUCUAGAGACUGUAGAGUUGCAGGAAGUAGUUGCAAUCUUAAAAAGUCAAGAACAACGGUUUGAUCUGCAUACUGUUGAUACUACUGGGAAAGCAUUCUCAUCUUUCUCAAUGAGUUCAAAAGAGCAGGAUAGGGGUGAAGGUCAAUCUGGUUCAUCUCGGUUCCAGAAAAAUUGGAAUAACAAGGGCAAGAAAUGGGGUUCAAAACCUAAGUUUCAGCAUAAAUUUCCUGCUAAUCCUGCACAUAAUGCACAGUCAAUGAGGCAGAUAGGUACAAAACCACAGUGCAGGGUAUGUUCUAAGUUUCACUUUGGAGAGUGUAGGUAUAAAGGGAAACCUAAAUGCUAUAACUGUGAAAAGUUUGGUCACUGGGCUAGAGAGUGCACAGUAGGUAAAUUAGUGCAAAAGGCAAAUAGUGCUAAUCAGGUAGAGGUGACAGGGAACCUGUUUUAUGCAAAUAGCACAAUCACUGAAUCAAAAGUGAAUGGAGAAUGGUAUGUAGACAGUGGUUGUAGCAACCAUAUGACAGGGGAUUCUAAGUUGUUGAUAGACAUGAAGACAAAUGUGGUUGGCAAGGUUCAAAUGCCCACAGGGGAACUCAUGAAUGUGGCAGGUUUUGGUACACUUGUGAUAGACACUAGCAAAGGCAGAAAAUAUGUCAAAGAAGUAAUGUACCUACCUGGGUUGAAGGAAAAUCUGUUAAGUGUGGGGCAGAUGGAUGAACACGGUUACUACCUGUUAUUUGGGGGAAAGAUGUGUAGUAUCUUUGAUGGACCUUCAUUGGAUUGUCUUGUACUCAAAGUUGAAAUGAAAAAGAACAGAUGUUAUCCUUUGACACUGAUACAAAAUGAUCAGGUUGUACUGAGAGCAGGUAUUUCUAAGUCUACUUGGAUAUGGCACAAGAGACUAGGCCAUCUGCAUUUUAGAGGUCUUCAACAGCUUAAGAACAAAGAAAUGGUGCAUGGUCUCCCAGUUUUAGAAGAAAUGGAUGAAGUUUGUAAAGGUUGUCAGUUUGGGAAACAGCAUAGAGAGUGGUUUCCAAAGAAUCAAGCGUGGAGAGCAAGUAAACCUCUAGAACUGGUGCAUGUAGAUCUGUGUGGUCCUAUGCAGAAUGAUUCUCUUGCGGGCAACAAAUAUUUCAUGCUUCUUGUAGAUGACUGUACAAGAAUAAUGUGGGUUUAUUUUCUGAAAUACAAGUCAGAUGCAUUGAUCUGUUUUAGAAAAUUCAAGUCCAUGGUGGAAUUACAAAGUGGUUUUAAGAUAAAAUGUUUGAGGAGUGACAGAGGGGGUGAAUUCACAUCUUGUGAAUUCAACAAACUGUGUGAAGAUGCAGGGAUUCAAAGACAGUUAUCUAUGGCCUAUACUCCACAACAGAAUGGAGUGGUAGAGAGGAAGAACCGAGCUGUGGUUGAGAUGGCAAAAGCUAUGCUUCAUGACAAAGGACUACCAUACUACUUAUGGGCAGAAUCUGUACUCACAGCUGUCUAUAUAUUGAACAGGUGUCCUACAAGAGCUCUUGGAGAAGUAACUCCAUUUGAAGCAUUCAGUGGUCGAAAACCUGGAAUUGCACAUCUUAGAAUCUUUGGUUGUCUGUGUUAUGUACACACACCAAAUGAGUUGAGACAGAAACUAGAUGCAAAGAGUGUCAAGGGCAUAUUUGUAGGUUAUGCAACCUGUGAAAAGGGGUACAGAGUGUAUGAUCCUCUUAGUAAAAAGCUUAUACUCUCAAGGGAUGUUGUGUUUGAUGAAAAUGCAGCCUGGGAAUGGAAGACAGCUCCUGAGAACUAUGUAACUGUGUUUAAUCCUAUUGAGUUAUCUGUGCUGCCUAAAUGUAUCUCAUCAGAGACAACUCCAGAGGAAAAUGAUUAUGUUUUGUCACCAAAUCUGGCAUUUUCUCAUGAAUCUGUAAGUGAUGUGGACAGCAGCAUGAAAAUGACUCAAGCCUUUGAUCACACUCCAUUGAAAUGGAGGAAUCUAGAUGAUGUCUUGGCACAAUGCAAUCUUUGUAUUAUGGAACCUGAAAAAUUUGAAGAGGCAGCCAAAGAUGAAGCAUGGAUGAAGGCUAUGAAAGAUGAACUGUCAAUGAUUGAGAAGAAUGCAACAUGGGAUCUGGUGAACAGACCAAGUGAUAAACCCAUAAUUGGGGUUAAGUGGGUGUUCAAGACCAAGCUUAAUCUCGAUGGGACAGUGCAAAAGCAUAAGGCAAGAUUGGUAGCCAAAGGAUAUGCUCAGAAACCAGGUGUGGAUUACAAUGAAACGUUUGCACCUGUAGCUAGACUGGAUACAAUUCGGACUCUAAUUGCUUUGGCAGCUCAGAAAAGUUGGAAAUUAUACCAACUAGAUGUGAAAUCUGCUUUUCUGAAUGGAGUACUCGAAGAAGAAGUUUAUGUAGAACAACCAGAUGGUUUUGUGAUCAAGGGGAGUGAAGACAAGGUGUACAAGCUUUAUAAAGCUUUGUAUGGUCUAAAACAGGCACCAAGAGCCUGGUAUAGUGAAAUUGAUACCUAUUUUGCUCACUAUGGGUUUGUGAAAAGUCAGAGUGAAGCUACUCUUUACAUCAAAGUAAGGGGAGGAGAAAUUCUGAUUGUUUCAAUCUAUGUGGAUGAUAUAGUGUAUACUGGGAAUAGCACUGAGAUGUUGAAGGAGUUCAAGGAAGACAUGAUGACAAAAUAUGAGAUGACAGAUUUGGGGCUCCUUCACCAUUUUCUUGGUAUGGGAGUGAUUCAAACUCACACAAGCAUAUUUAUCCAUCAAAGGAAGUAUGCUGGUUCUUUGUUAGAUAAGUUUGGUUUGAAUGAGUGUAAAUAUGUGUUUACACCACUGGUUUCAUCAGAGAAGCUAUGCAAAGAUGAUGGCAGUGGUUCAGCAAGUGAGGAACAGUAUCGAAGAAUUGUUGGAAGUUUGUUGUAUCUCACAGCAACUCGACCAGAUAUAAUGUAUGCUGCAAGCCUUCUAGCUCGAUUCAUGCACUGUCCUACAAAUAAACAUCUUGGAACAACCAAAAGAGUGCUUAGGUACAUCAAGGGAACUUUAGAUUAUGGUUUAGAGUAUGUAAAGGGAAAGAAUGCAAUGCUAAUCGGAUUCUGUGAUAGUGAUUGGGGAGGAUCUGUUGAUGAUAGCAAGAGUACUUCUGGUUAUGCAUUUUCCUUUGGCAGUGGAGUGUUCUCAUGGGCCUCAGUGAAGCAGAAUUGUGUAGCACUCUCUACAGCAGAAGCAGAGUACAUCAGUGCCUCUGAAGCAACUGCUCAAGCCAUUUGGCUUAGAUUUGUUCUUGAAGAUUUUGGUGAGAUGAAAACUGAAGCAACUCCAGUACACUGUGAUAAUACAUCAGCAAUUGCAAUUACUAAAAAUCCUGUUUUCCAUCAGAAAACCAAGCACAUUGACAGAAGGUAUCAUUUUAUCAAGAAUGCACUCCAGGAAGGGAUAAUCGAUUUGGUGUACUGUCCAACAAAUGAGCAGGUGGCAGACAUAUUUACUAAGGCUUUGUCUAAGGAUCGAUUCAACUAUCUUCGAGAUAUGCUUGGUGUGAAAUCAGCUCAAAACUUAAAGGGGAGUGUUGAACUAUAAGUAUUUGAGCUGAAAUGUUUUAGAAUAAGUUUUGUUUAAAUUGGUGAAUCCACUUGUGCAGAAUGAGGCAAAGUGUAAAUGUCUAGUUUUGUAAAAAGGCCAUGAGUGCCAUGUGUUGGUAGAUCCAUGAAAUUAGAGAGAUGUGUGUCUAGGAUGAAAUGUAGUAGUUUAUGUGGUCCCAAGUUAAGGACCUUCAGUUAAUGUAAAGCACGUGAGUGCUCAUUUCUGAAAAAAAAAGAAGCAAUUUUCCUCUGUAAAGUUUCUGCAGAGAAAAGAACAAGAAACCGUUCGCUUUCUCCAACCUUUGUUCAUCGUGUGUUUUCUGUACAGCUCCAUCUUCAUCAAAACUCUCAUUGAAAUCAAGUUACACUAACACAAAUACCCUUCAGCUGCAGCAGCCAAACGACCCGAUGGAAUACUUCAAGUUCAAAAAGGGCAGAGACUCUCCCAGCGAUGCACGCACGGCGCUGCUAGUUAUUGCUGUACUAGUGGCCACCACCACCUUUCAAGCCGGACUCAGCCCUCCGAUGGGCAUUUGGCAGGACAGCCCUGGAUCAAACAUGAAUGGGACUGGCAGUGGGAGCAAUGAACCAGCGCACACAGCAGGGCAGUCCAUCAUGAGUUCUUACAAGAUAUUAGGAUUUUUCUUCUUUUACACUUCCAACUCGAUUAGACUUUCGUUUUCGCUUUACAUGAUCCAUGUCCUCACCACCAAUUUCCCUCUGCAGUUGGAGCUUAACAUUUGUAUGUUCACGAUGUUCUUGACGUACUGUUCUGCAAUUUCCGAAAUUGGACCGGAGAUCAUGUCCCACCCUGUGUUCGCUUUAACUAUGCCAGCGUUGGUAGCGUUGGUAAGGGUGUGGUAAGCGUAAUGCACCCGCUUAGAUGACCUGCAGUAAAUUGGACUCGAAGGCUCAUUUUAAAAUAGUUGUACAUUACACGUCUGUUUCCAGGAUCAUCGUUGGCGCAUUCAUCAUAGAAGCUCCAGCUUCGUAUCAAAGUCAGUCGUGACUAUCAUAAAUACCGUACAUUUGCUAUGUAUUACUAAAUCUUUGGUGUGGACUUCUUAUAUGAUAUAGCGUUAAGAAUUCAGUACGAAAACAGUAAAACAGAAUUAUUUGCACUAAUUCUUCCUCUUGAUUUAUGAUGGUGUUAGUUCUAUAAGUCGACAUCUUUGCCAGCCGCAAUUGAUACUGCCGUUUGAUACUGCAAAUGAAAGCCCGGUGGAUGCGCAAAAUUUCAAGCCAAUCUUACAGAUUGUAUGAAGAAAGGAACAAUGUAGUUGGUAGCACAGAAGUUUAUAAUCUUCUAGUUGGAGUAAUCUAAUUAAGGCUAUAAUAUUCAUACAGAAGGUUUUACAAAAUGAUCAUCUUUCGACAUGUAUAACAAUGGCGAUCUUUAAUCACAAUGACUUGUACAGCUCGAUCAAAUGAGAAGCAUGGAGGCACCACGUAGGAGCCACGGUGCAGCCCAAACUUUGCAGAUAAGAAAUCUGGUAAUUCACAGCAUAAGAAUCGAAUUACCGGGUCUCCUGACCAUCCUACGUACCAAUGUGCGCACAAGGAAAUGAGUAAGGUAAUCAAAUGCUGAGUCCUGCGUACCUGUUUCGGUGUUGGUUCGGAUGAACCCAUUUAGUUCUCAAUCCGUAACUUCUGGAAAUGCUCCUGAAAGCAUAAAUUUAAGCACAUCAUGAAAUCCCCCUUGCGGGAUUUUCCUUAUUUUUUCUAACUCAUCUUCCCACUCGCGUAUAGUUUUGUUACCAAGAAAAGCUCCCAGGACUUUGAGUGCUAAAGGCAGGCCUUGAGCAUAUUUUACAACACGAUUCGAUAGAUCAUCAUAAUCUCUGGUGGGUUGGUUUUUUCCGAAAGCGUGCUGCCUAAAGAGUUUCAGAGCUCCAGAAUCACUCAAAGUCUUGGGAUUAUAUAUCACAUCAGCUACGCUUAGUAAUUGCGAAUCUCUAGUUGUUAUAAUAAUUCUGCUUCCACCACCAAAGAAAUGUGGCUCUCCAAGUAGAGCUUCAAUUUGUUCUAAUUUGUCCACAUCAUCAACAACAAUAAGAACUUUUCUCUGGCCAAGGCUUUUUAACAUCACCUGAAAACCUUUACUCGAUAUGUCAGAGCUCCCCACCUUGUUGUCCGAGAUACUAGAUAGAAGUUGUGUCUGCAUAAGUAGUUCGCCGUGCUUCAUGAAACCCUCCUUGACAUUUUUAAGAAAGCAACAAGCUUCAAAUCGACAAGCGAUUUUAUCAUAAACAGCAUUAGCGAUGGUAGUUUUACCUAAACCACCCAUACCCCAUAUUCCAACAACUCGAACAUUAUUCGUUUCACCUCCGGGAGGAUAUAAUAAUAAAUGCAUUUCAUGCAUGCGAGAAUCCAUGUCAACCAAGCCAUUAUCUUUGCUUGAUGUUGAUGAGAUGUCGAUCAAUUUCCUAUAAACAUAUUCUACAAUUUCCUCAGUAAGCACCACAUCAUUCCUGUCAAAUUAAAAAAUACAAUAUAAUAACACCACCAAAUAAUAAUUAAUGGGUUUUUUCAUCUGUUAGUUAAAAAAAAAAACAGAAAUUAAAACUAAAAACUAGAUAUUUAUAAAAUUACCGCAAAACGUUACAAAAAUCCCAAAAAUUAAUAGGAAACUAAAACAAAUUAGAAUUUACUCAUAGUUUCGCGAAUCCCAGCCGGAUAAACUGGUGGCAGUUGUAAGAGCGGAUCUCCAGCUCUGAACCUCUUCCAUUUCGGCGUUAGAAUCGCGAUCGUGCUGAGCAAAAGCUUCCGCGAAACUUUUCUUGAGUUUACGAACAUCAGACGGAUCAACUUCAUAGAAAAUGGGGAGUACAAUCUGGUUAUUGGUAUCCUUGCAUUUCAAGAUUUGCACGAGUUCUUUCAAGCACCAAGUGGAAGAAGCAUAGUCUUGAGAGAAAACUACAAUCGAAAGCCUUGACUCUCGAAUCGCUGUCAGGAGCUCAGAAAGGUGGUCGCCUUUUCUGAGCUUCUCGGCAUCAAUGAAGGCGUUGAUUGGUUUCUUAGCCAGAGCGUUGUAGAGAUGGCUGACGAAGCCCCUGCGAGUGUCUUCCCCUCUGAAAUUGAUGAACACAUCGUAUUUGCAACCAAGGCCAGA